CUCAAAUGACUUAGUGGAACAUCCCACAUCAGUGUUAGACGUAAUAAGUUUCGUCUCUCCUUGUGGUGAUGACUGCUCAGAACCUGCCAUCGCGCAUCUUUUGACUUUGACCUGAAAUCAGGUAGGGCUACCCGCUGAACUUAAGCAUAUCAAUAAGCGGAGGAAAAGAAACUAACAAGGAUUCCCCUAGUAACGGCGAGUGAACCGGGAAGAGCUCAAAUUUGAAAUCUGGCGUGCUCAGUGCGUCCGAGUUGUAAUCUAUAGAGGCGUUUUCCGUGCCGGACUGUGUCCAAGUCCCUUGGAACAGGGUAUCAAAGAGGGUGAUAAUCCCGUACUUGACACAAUGACCGGUGCUCUGUGAUACGUCUUCUACGAGUCGAGUUGUUUGGGAAUGCAGCUCAAAAUGGGUGGUGAGUUCCAUCUAAAGCUAAAUAUUGGCGAGAGACCGAUAGCGAACAAGUACCGUGAGGGAAAGAUGAAAAGCACUUUGGAAAGAGAGUUAAACAGUACGUGAAAUUGUUGAAAGGGAAACGAUUGAAGUCAGUCGUGACUGAGAGGCUCAGCCGGUUCUGCCGGUGUAUUCCCCUCAGUCGGGUCAACAUCAGUUUUGUUCGGUGGAUAAGGGCAGUUGGAAGGUGGCACCCUCGGGUGUGUUAUAGCCAGCUGUCGCAUACAUCGGAUGAGACUGAGGAAUGCAGCUCGCCUUUAUGGCCGGGGUCGCC
This 722-nucleotide ribosomal RNA is filed under the name Papiliotrema flavescens. RNAcentral describes it as "eukaryotic LSU rRNA". The stretch from base 108 to 722 matches the Rfam family "Eukaryotic large subunit ribosomal RNA", at positions 1 to 630 of the family's 3401-position model. The record is from RNAcentral. Lineage: Eukaryota; Fungi; Basidiomycota; Tremellomycetes; Tremellales; Rhynchogastremaceae.